RNAcentral lists this ribosomal RNA (428 nucleotides) under uncultured prokaryote. RNAcentral describes it as "bacterial SSU rRNA". It matches the Rfam family "Bacterial small subunit ribosomal RNA", at positions 355 to 774 of the family's 1533-position model. The record is from RNAcentral.
UCGAGAAUCAUUCGCAAUGGGCGCAAGCCUGACGGUGCGACGUCGCGUGGAGGAUGAAGGUCUUCGGAUUGUAAACUCCUGUCAUGUGGGAUAAAUGGCCAGGGCAAGAAUACUGCCUUGGAAUGAUAGUACCACAGGAGGAAGAGACGGCUAACUCUGUGCCAGCAGCCGCGGUAAUACAGAGGUCUCGAGCGUUGUUCGGAUUUACUGGGCGUAAAGGGAGCGUAGGCGGUUCGGUGUGUUGAAUGUGAAAUCCCACAACUCAACUGUGGAAUGGCAUUCAAAACUACCGGGCUAGAGUACUGGAGAGGAGAGCGGAAUUCUUGGUGUAGCGGUGAAAUGCGUAGAUAUCAAGAGGAACACCGGUGGCGAAGGCGGCUCUCUGGACAGAUACUGACGCUGAGGCUCUAAAGUUAGGGGAGCAAACA